This 71-nucleotide transfer RNA is filed under the name Minisyncoccota bacterium. RNAcentral describes it as "tRNA-Trp". It matches the Rfam family "tRNA". From Rfam's summary of the family: Transfer RNA (tRNA) molecules are approximately 80 nucleotides in length. Their secondary structure includes four short double-helical elements and three loops (D, anti-codon, and T loops). The record is from RNAcentral. Lineage: Bacteria; Bacillati; Minisyncoccota.
GGGGGUUUAGUUAAACGGUAUAAUAAGCGUCUCCAAAACGCUUGUCGAAGGUCCGACUCCUUCAGCCCCCG